This 468-nucleotide ribosomal RNA is filed under the name uncultured bacterium. RNAcentral's name for it is "partial 16S ribosomal RNA". It matches the Rfam family "Bacterial small subunit ribosomal RNA", at positions 28 to 507 of the family's 1533-position model. The record is from RNAcentral.
GACGAACGCUGGCGGCGUGCUUAACACAUGCAAGUCGAACGGAAAGGCCCUGCUUUUGUGGGGUGCUCGAGUGGCGAACGGGUGAGUAACACGUGAGUAACCUGCCCUUGACUUUGGGAUAACUUCAGGAAACUGGGGCUAAUACCGGAUAGGAGCUCCUGCUGCAUGGUGGGGGUUGGAAAGUUUCGGCGGUUGGGGAUGGACUCGCGGCUUAUCGGCUUGUUGGUGGGGUAGUGGCUUACCAAGGCUUUGACGGGUAGCCGGCCUGAGAGGGUGACCGGCCACAUUGGGACUGAGAUACGGCCCAGACUCCUACGGGAGGCAGCAGUGGGGAAUAUUGCGCAAUGGGCGGAAGCCUGAUGCAGCAACGCCGCGUGCGGGAUGACGGCCUUCGGGUUGUAAACCGCUUUCGCCUGUGACGAAGCGUGAGUGACGGUAAUGGGUAAAGAAGCACCGGCUAACUACGUG